Molecule: ribosomal RNA, 499 nt
Filed under: uncultured Glomeromycotina
Lineage: Eukaryota; Fungi; Glomeromycota
Description: partial small subunit ribosomal RNA
Rfam family: Eukaryotic small subunit ribosomal RNA
Source: RNAcentral
CCAAUAGCGUAUAUUAAAGUUGCUGCAGUUAAAAAGCUCGUAGUUGAAUUUCGGGACUAAUAUGUCGGUCGUGCCUCGGUACGUACUGGUAUUUUUGGUUUCUCCCUUCUGACGAACCUUGAUGUCAUUAAUUUGGUGUCUUGGGAAAUCAGGACUGUUACUUUGAAAAAAUUAGUGUGUUUAAAGCAGGCUCACGCUUGAAUACAUUAGCAUGGAAUAAUUAAAUAGGACGUUUGAUUCUAUUUUGUUGGUUUCUAGGAUUGACGUAAUGAUUAAUAGGGAUAGUUGGGGGCAUUAGUAUUCAAUUGUCAGAGGUGAAAUUCUUGAAUUUAUUGAAGACUAACUACUGCGAAAGCAUUUGCCAAGGAUGUUUUCAUUAAUCAAGAACGAAAGUUAGGGGAUCGAAGACGAUCAGAUACCGUCGUAGUCUUAACCAUAAACUAUGCCGACUAGGGAUCGGAUGAUGUUAAUUUUUUAAUGACUCAUUCGGCGCCCUACG